CCCAAAAGUGUUGGAGCUAAAUCCAGAUGAGACUGUUACAGAUCGAGAGAAGACAGAUGAGAUGGGUAUGAGUGAGACCAGUCUACAAGAUGUGAUUCAGAUGGAGUUUUCUGCACAGGUCAGUGAGCUAAAGACCCCACAGAAAUCAACAAAUGAGCCAGAAUCAUCCAUGCCCGAAUCAUACAGAACCAAAGCAGAGUUGGCUGUCAGUGCUCAGUUAACAGCGUUGUCAAGUAAUCCUAAAUUGCGCAGAGAUUUCUUCACCCUAUCAG
Molecule: long non-coding RNA, 272 nt
Organism: Danio aesculapii
Lineage: Eukaryota; Metazoa; Chordata; Actinopteri; Cypriniformes; Danionidae
Exons: 4
Source: RefSeq, a predicted model, not a curated record